Molecule: small RNA, 464 nt
Filed under: Histoplasma ohiense
Lineage: Eukaryota; Fungi; Ascomycota; Eurotiomycetes; Onygenales; Ajellomycetaceae
Description: hypothetical lncRNA
Source: RNAcentral
CCAAAUGUUGGGAAUCACACCGAGAACUCCCAGGCUCCAUGUCGGCUGUUGCGAUGCCGAUAGUUAUCAACCGCAACAAGGAUACUUCAGAAGCCUGAUAUCAUAGAUUUGAGCGUCAAGAGGCAGGAUCAAUGUGACUGGGAUAUAUAUCCGCACCCUGUCUGUUGAAGACGGUAUCUGCCCUGGGGUGAAGGGUAGUUUGAAAUAGCACUUCUUGAAGGCUUGUUGUUUUGGUUAGAGGCUCCUUUUUAUUGGUCCAAAGCGUUGGCCGUCUGGGUGGGUUAUAUUGGUUUGUUAUGCUAUGUGCGGGCCGCCCAGGGCUGCAAGGGGUAAGAGUCUACGCCGUAUGUCGGAACUGGAUAAAGUCCGAAUAUUGACCCAAAUACUGAAUAUCGAUAGAUUAAUUGAAUUUUUGUUAUUCUAACUCCGAUAAUUACAUGAUAACUAGGCAGUAUUUAUGAGAA